This 535-nucleotide long non-coding RNA is filed under the name Capra hircus (goat). Its description in RNAcentral is "lncRNA (ENSCHIG00000001212.1)". Lineage: Eukaryota; Metazoa; Chordata; Mammalia; Artiodactyla; Bovidae. The record is from RNAcentral.
GGUUAGUUUCCAGGGAGAAAAAGCAUGACUUCCCAUGGGCAGCAGUGGGGCCCCAAGGAUGGAGCCGCCUGACAGCCCUCAUGGCAAACACAGGAGAAGAACAAAUAACAUCUAUUCAAAAAAAGACACAACUGAGAGAAUCCUAGAACACAGAUGCAGCUGAAGCAAUGCUCUGCAGCACAGAGACCAAGGCAGACUGCAUUUGAAGGGUACUUUCAUGGGAAGGUUUGAAAAACAGGACAUGGAAUACUCGAGAAGGUAUUUCUGAGAGACAACAGUUGCCACCAUCCAAGGCUCUAAGUUGACCUGGAAAUCAAAACUAUUAUACCUCCGAAAGGUUAUGACUCCUCUGUCAACUCCAGUCUAUUGGUAGUGUUUCCUUGGAAGAGCUUUGCUGGGAUAGAUUCUGAGACUUGUGUUUAGUUCAGCAGUGUUUAGAUUAGCAAUGUGUUCCAGUGCUGGGGGAGGUGAUCCAUGGCAGUUUGCUUUAAUGAUUCACUAUAGAUUAAUAUGAGAAUCUAUUUAAAUCUUUGAC